AGAAUCAACGCUGGCGGCGUGCCUAACACAUGCAAGUCGAACGAGAAAGUGGUAGCAAUACCAUGAGUAAAGUGGCGCACGGGUGAGUAACACGUGACUAACCUACCCUUGAGUGGGGGAUAACUGAGGGAAACCUUAGCUAAUACCGCAUAAUACCCACGGGUCAAAGGAGCAAUUCGCUCGAGGAGGGGGUCGCGGCCGAUUAGUUAGUUGGCAGGGUAAUGGCCUACAAGACGAUGAUCGGUA
This 246-nucleotide ribosomal RNA is filed under the name uncultured bacterium. RNAcentral's name for it is "partial small subunit ribosomal RNA". It matches the Rfam family "Bacterial small subunit ribosomal RNA", at positions 26 to 285 of the family's 1533-position model. The record is from RNAcentral.